UGUAUCAUGAUGAAACUCAUGCGUGUCAACUGACUCUGGAAGCGCCCUGCUGGGUUAGCGCUCUGGUGGGCGUUUUGCUCACCUGAGUUGCAAGCCUGAGCAGGGGCCCGGGGAUGUGAUCUUAGAUCUCUUCUGAAUACA
Nerophis lumbriciformis (worm pipefish) is the source of this 141-nucleotide small nucleolar RNA. RefSeq annotates it as small nucleolar RNA SNORD10. Lineage: Eukaryota; Metazoa; Chordata; Actinopteri; Syngnathiformes; Syngnathidae. The record is from RefSeq and is a predicted model, not a curated record.